RNAcentral lists this ribosomal RNA (775 nucleotides) under uncultured Neocallimastigales. RNAcentral's name for it is "partial large subunit ribosomal RNA". It matches the Rfam family "Eukaryotic large subunit ribosomal RNA", at positions 26 to 637 of the family's 3401-position model. The record is from RNAcentral. Lineage: Eukaryota; Fungi; Neocallimastigomycota; Neocallimastigomycetes; Neocallimastigales.
CGCAUCUGUGCAUGCAGCAUAUCAAUAAGCGGAGGAAAAGAAACUAACAAGGAUUCCCCUAGUAACGGCGAGUGAAGCGGGAAGAGCUCAAAUUUGAAAUCUUAAAGGGUUUCCCUUUACGAAUUGUAGUUUAAAGAAGUGUUUUCUGUUGAGGUUUUGGUAAAAGUUCUUUGGAAUAGGACAUCAUAGAGGGUGAGAAUCCCGUAUUUGACCUUUACUUUCAACUUUGUGAUACACUUUCAAAGAGUCGGAUUGUUUGGGAAUGCAGUCCAAAAUGGGUGGUAAAUUUCAUCUAAAGCUAAAUAUUGGCGAGAGACCGAUAGCGAACAAGUACCGUGAGGGAAAGAUGAAAAGAACUUUGAAAAGAGAGUUAAACAGUACGUGAAAUUGUCAAAAGGGAAGCGUUUGACACCAGUGUUGUUUUUCUGAAAAUCAAUUAAAGAACUGUUUAUGCUAAGCUGUUUAGACUUUAUCAGCUAUACUGUUUAGUUUUGAGCUUUUCUUUAAUGCACUUUUCAGUUAACAAGUCAACAUCAAUUUCUUUUGCUGUAAAAAAGCUUGAGGAAGGUGGCUUGAGAUUCGUCUUAAGUGUUUAUAGCCUCUUGCCUAUGCGGUCGGAGAGAUUGAGGUCUGCAGCGUAGAUCCUUCGGGGCUAAAUGCAUUUGUGCUAAGUUAUAACAUUUUAUAGACAACUUGUUGACUAUGAUUUGUCUUGUAGCUUACUCGCUUAUGUUAUUUUACCUACGCUUAGGAUGUUGACAGCAGUAUAGACUGU